Molecule: ribosomal RNA, 680 nt
Filed under: uncultured Mortierella
Lineage: Eukaryota; Fungi; Mortierellomycota; Mortierellomycetes; Mortierellales; Mortierellaceae
Description: eukaryotic LSU rRNA
Rfam family: 5.8S ribosomal RNA (bases 226-379)
Source: RNAcentral
CUUGGUCAUUUAGAGGAAGUAAAAGUCGUAACAAGGUUUCCGUAGGUGAACCUGCGGAAGGAUCAUUCACAAUGAGUGUUUUAUGGCACUCUUUAAAAAUCCAUAUCCACCUUGUGUGCAAUGUUUGUUGGGAGAGAGGCAACUCUUUCCCUUCACAAAUAUCAACCUAUAUCUUUAACAACAUUCGUCUGAUAACAUAUUAUGAAUAUACUUAAUUCAAAAUAUAACUUUCAACAACGGAUCUCUUGGCUCUCGCAUCGAUGAAGAACGCAGCGAAAUGCGAUACGUAAUGUGAAUUGCAGAAUUCAGUGAAUCAUCGUAUCUUUGAACGCAUAUUGCGCUCUUUGGUAUUCCGAAGAGCAUGCUUGUUUGAGUAUCAGUAAACACCUCAACCUCCUCUUGUUUUUUCAAAAGGAGGGUGGACUUGAGCUAUCCCAACAACCUUCACCGGUAGGCGGGCGGCUUGAAAUGCAGGUGCAGCUGGACUUUUAUCUGAGCUAAAAGCAUAUCUAUUUAGUCCUCGUCAAACAGGAUUAUUACUAUUGCUGCAGCUAACAUAAAGGAUAAUUGUCCUCAUUGCUGACUGAUGCAGGAUUUUACGACACUUUAUGUGUUGUUCAACUCGAUCUCAAAUCAAGUAAGACUACCCGCUGAACUUAAGCAUAUCAAUAAGCGGAGGA